RNAcentral lists this ribosomal RNA (699 nucleotides) under uncultured bacterium. Its description in RNAcentral is "bacterial SSU rRNA". It matches the Rfam family "Bacterial small subunit ribosomal RNA", at positions 8 to 701 of the family's 1533-position model. The record is from RNAcentral.
AGAGUUUGAUCCUGGCUCAGAAUGAACGCUGGCGGCGUGGAUAAGACAUGCAAGUCGAACGGAAAACACAAUAGCUUGCUAAUGUGUUUUUAGUGGCGGACGGGUUAGUAACACGUGAGCAACCUGCCUCGAAGCGGGGGAUAGCCUUCCGAAAGGGAGAUUAAUACCGCAUACGGUCUUCGGAUCAAAGGAGCCUUCGGGUUCCACUUCGAGAUGGGCUCGCGGCCUAUCAGCUAGUUGGUGAGGUAACGGCUCACCAAGGCAACGACGGGUAGCUGGUCUGAGAGGAUGAUCAGCAACACUGGAACUGAGACACGGUCCAGACACCUACGGGUGGCAGCAGUCGAGAAUCAUUCACAAUGGGGGAAACCCUGAUGGUGCAACGCCGCGUGGAGGAUGAAGGCCCUAGGGUCGUAAACUCCUGUCAUAUAAGAGUAAGGCAUACGUGGUUAAUACCCGUGUAUGUUUGAUAGUAUUAUAAGAGGAAGGGACGGCUAACUUCGUGCCAGCAGCCGCGGUAAUACGAAGGUCCCGAGCGUUAUUCGGAAUCACUGGGCGUAAAGAGUACGUAGGCGGUUUGGUAAGUCAGGUGUGAAAUCCCGGAGCUCAACUCCGGAACUGCAUCCGAUACUGCCAGACUUGAGUAAUGGAGAGGCAGGGUGGAUUCUCGGUGUAGCAGUGAAAUGCGUGGAUAUCGAG